CAUAACCGAGCAGCAGCCCGAAAGAGACGCCAGUCGCGCUCUAACUGUUCACGGAGGAAGACGAUUCGGCGCUGCAUCUGGGCUUCUGACGACCAUUUACAAACGAAAACAUCAACACUAGGAUCGUUUCAAGGAAAUCUUCCUACUUGCGUGAACGCUAUUAAGAUGGCGCUGCAGGGGCCGACACGCCAAUUGCCGGAGGUGGUGGUACUUCCAAGGCUGUUCGAAAUGACAGUAUUGACUUGCCCGACCGCGCCGGCGGUUAAGGAUGCUCGGCAAAACAGUUGGCUCUCCUACUACCACCUGAACCAGAGAGCAAAUGCGCUAGCCAGGUACAGUUCUCUUCGAGAUCUAUCUCUCCAUUUC
This is a long non-coding RNA of Penaeus monodon (black tiger shrimp), 366 nucleotides long. RefSeq lists it as uncharacterized. NCBI's taxonomy places the organism in Eukaryota, Metazoa, Arthropoda, Malacostraca, Decapoda, Penaeidae. The record is from RefSeq and is a predicted model, not a curated record. The transcript has 3 exons.